This is a long non-coding RNA of Passer domesticus (house sparrow), 391 nucleotides long. RefSeq lists it as uncharacterized. NCBI's taxonomy places the organism in Eukaryota, Metazoa, Chordata, Aves, Passeriformes, Passeridae. The transcript has 3 exons. The record is from RefSeq and is a predicted model, not a curated record.
CAGUGCCCAGCACAGCACCAAGAGCCUCUCAGUCCUGCUAGAAGGGAGAGAACAAACCUUUGCCUGGGAUGAGACCCACACAGGGAAGAUCUCAAGGAAGGAAAAUGAUAUAGCCUUGCCAGAAAUCCAUUAACUCCUCUUACCCUCAGAAAAUACCAUCGCAUAUCAAGGCUUGAUCACAUUUUCUGUCUCAAGCCAUUCCCCCUUGCCCUUUUACUACAUGCCUCAGAGUCCAUGCUCUCCAGGGAUUUUCACCCAAAGGAAUAACAGCAUUUCCAGGAACAACCCCUAUCCUGAAUUCCAGAGGCAUGAAGGAAAAUCAAGUGGAUUCCUGAAGCUCAUCAAAGAAUUAUUGCUCCAAGCAAAGUUGCAAAGCUGUAAUGAACUCUCA